CAGAGAAACCCAGAGAGCAUCAGGACAGCCAUGAGGCUGCUGACUGGGGCUGAUCUGUG
This is a microRNA precursor of Cricetulus griseus (Chinese hamster), 59 nucleotides long. Lineage: Eukaryota; Metazoa; Chordata; Mammalia; Rodentia; Cricetidae. The record is from Ensembl.